UACGGAGGGUGCAAGCGUUAUCCGGAUUUAUUGGGGUUAAAGGGUCCGUAGGCGGAUCUGUAAGUCAGUGGUGAAAUCUCACAGCUUAACUGUGAAACUGCCAUUGAUACUGCAGGUCUUGAGUGUUAUUGAAGUAGCUGGAAUAAGUAGUGUAGCGGUGAAACGCAUAGAUAUUACUUAGAACACCAAUUGCGAAGGCAGGUUACUAAGCAACAACUGACGCUGAUGGACGAAAGCGUGGGGAGCGAACAGG
Molecule: ribosomal RNA, 253 nt
Filed under: uncultured bacterium
Lineage: Bacteria
Description: partial 16S ribosomal RNA
Rfam family: Bacterial small subunit ribosomal RNA
Source: RNAcentral